This is a non-coding RNA of Poecilia reticulata (guppy), 202 nucleotides long. The record is from RefSeq and is a predicted model, not a curated record. NCBI's taxonomy places the organism in Eukaryota, Metazoa, Chordata, Actinopteri, Cyprinodontiformes, Poeciliidae.
UGACCCCUGCAGUGACCCCUGCAGUGACCCCUGCAGUGACCCCGUCAGGGAUAAGCCCCAACAAGCUGGAGGAAGGAUUUAAGAUGUAGCCUGUUAUACAUUCAGGAGAGAAGGUGAGGUGUGAAGUGACCAACGGUUGUGGUUCAUUCGAUUUUUGGUUUGAUGUUGGAAGACAUUGAGAAUUAAACAAGACUCAAAUCUU